RNAcentral lists this ribosomal RNA (303 nucleotides) under uncultured bacterium. RNAcentral's name for it is "bacterial SSU rRNA". It matches the Rfam family "Bacterial small subunit ribosomal RNA", at positions 28 to 334 of the family's 1533-position model. The record is from RNAcentral.
GACGAACGCUGGCGGCGUGCCUAACACAUGCAAGUCGAACGGGGUAUUUCUUCGGAGAUACUUAGUGGCGAACGGGUGAGUAACGCGUGAGAAACCUGCCUUUCAGUGGGGGACAACAGUUGGAAACGACUGCUAAUACCGCAUAAUGUUAUUUGGGGGCAUCCUUGAAUAACCAAAGAUUUAUUGCUGAAAGAUGGUCUCGCGUCUGAUUAGCUAGAUGGCGGGGUAACGGCCCACCAUGGCGACGAUCAGUAGCCGGUCUGAGAGGAUGAACGGCCACAUUGGGACUGAGAUACGGCCCAG